Small nucleolar RNA from Balaenoptera ricei (Rice's whale), 70 nucleotides. RefSeq annotates it as small nucleolar RNA SNORD42. The record is from RefSeq and is a predicted model, not a curated record. NCBI's taxonomy places the organism in Eukaryota, Metazoa, Chordata, Mammalia, Artiodactyla, Balaenopteridae. The transcript has a single exon.
GCGCAAAUGAUGGAAAAAUCACUAUUUGGGGGGGGGGGAAAUGACAUGAACAAAGGAACCACCAAUACGC